This 254-nucleotide ribosomal RNA is filed under the name uncultured bacterium. RNAcentral describes it as "partial 16S ribosomal RNA". It matches the Rfam family "Bacterial small subunit ribosomal RNA", at positions 524 to 776 of the family's 1533-position model. The record is from RNAcentral.
UACGAAGGGGGCUAGCGUUGCUCGGAAUCACUGGGCGUAAAGAGCUCGUAGGCGGUCUGUCGCGUCGGUCGUGAAAACUUGGGGCUUAACCCUGAGCUUGCGGUCGAUACGGGCAUGACUGGAGUUCGGCAGGGGAGACUGGAAUUCCUGGUGUAGCGGUGAAAUGCGCAGAUAUCAGGAGGAACACCGGUGGCGAAGGCGGGUCUCUGGGCCGAUACUGACGCUGAGGAGCGAAAGCGUGGGGAGCGAACAGG